This 465-nucleotide ribosomal RNA is filed under the name Vreelandella stevensii. RNAcentral describes it as "partial 16S ribosomal RNA". It matches the Rfam family "Bacterial small subunit ribosomal RNA", at positions 338 to 795 of the family's 1533-position model. Lineage: Bacteria; Pseudomonadati; Pseudomonadota; Gammaproteobacteria; Oceanospirillales; Halomonadaceae. The record is from RNAcentral.
CCUACGGGAGGCUGCAGUGGGGAAUAUUGGACAAUGGGGGCAACCCUGAUCCAGCCAUGCCGCGUGUGUGAAGAAGGCCCUUGGGUUGUAAAGCACUUUCAGUGAGGAAGAACGCCUGGUGGUUAAUACCCAUCAGGAAAGACAUCACUCACAGAAGAAGCACCGGCUAACUCCGUGCCAGCAGCCGCGGUAAUACGGAGGGUGCGAGCGUUAAUCGGAAUUACUGGGCGUAAAGCGCGCGUAGGUGGCUUGAUAAGCCGGUUGUGAAAGCCCCGGGCUCAACCUGGGAACGGCAUCCGGAACUGUCAAGCUAGAGUGCAGGAGAGGAAGGUAGAAUUCCCGGUGUAGCGGUGAAAUGCGUAGAGAUCGGGAGGAAUACCAGUGGCGAAGGCGGCCUUCUGGACUGACACUGACACUGAGGUGCGAAAGCGUGGGUAGCAAACAGGAUUAGAUACCCUGGUAGUC